UGGCCUCGAAUCAGGUAGGGAUACCCGCUGAACUUAAGCAUAUCAAUAAGCGGAGGAAAAGAAACCAACAGGGAUUGCCUUAGUAACUGCGAGUGAAGCGGCAAGAGCUCAAAUUUGAAAUCUGGCGCCUUUGGCGUCCGAGUUGUAAUUUGGAGAGGCAUCUUCGGGUGCGGCGCCGGCCUAAGUUCCUUGGAACAGGACGUCAUAGAGGGUGAGAAUCCCGUUCUCGGCUGGCUGUCCGCGUCCAUGUGAAGUGUCUUCGACGAGUCGAGUUGUUUGGGAAUGCAGCUCAAAAUGGGUGGUAAACUCCAUCUAAAGCUAAAUACUGGCGAGAGACCGAUAGCGCACAAGUAGAGUGAUCGAAAGAUGAAAAGCACUUUGAAAAGAGAGUUAAAAAGUACGUGAAAUUGUUGAAAGGGAAGCGCUUGAGACCAGACUCGGCGGGAGGUAUUCAUCGUCCCUUCUGGGGCGUGCACUUGCCUCUCGUCGGGCCAGCAUCGGUUGCGGCGGCGGGAUAAAGACCCGGGGAACGUGGCUGCUCUCGGGCAGUGUUAUAGCCCCGGGUGUCAUGCCGCCUGCUGCGACCGAGGACCGCGCUUCGGCUAGGAUGCUGGCACAAUGGUCUUCAGCGACCC
RNAcentral lists this ribosomal RNA (635 nucleotides) under Desmazierella acicola. Its description in RNAcentral is "eukaryotic LSU rRNA". It matches the Rfam family "Eukaryotic large subunit ribosomal RNA", at positions 1 to 650 of the family's 3401-position model. Lineage: Eukaryota; Fungi; Ascomycota; Pezizomycetes; Pezizales; Sarcoscyphaceae. The record is from RNAcentral.